Molecule: ribosomal RNA, 253 nt
Filed under: uncultured bacterium
Lineage: Bacteria
Description: partial 16S ribosomal RNA
Rfam family: Bacterial small subunit ribosomal RNA
Source: RNAcentral
UACAGAGGUCUCAAGCGUUGUUCGGAUUCAUUGGGCGUAAAGGGUGCGUAGGUGGCGCUGUAAGUCGGGUGUGAAAUUUCGGAGCUUAACUCCGAAACUGCAUUCGAUACUGCGGUGCUUGAGGACUGGAGAGGAGACUGGAAUUCAUGGUGUAGCAGUGAAAUGCGUAGAGAUCAUGAGGAAGACCAGUGGCGAAGGCGGGUCUCUGGACAGUUCCUGACACUGAGGCACGAAGGCCGGGGGAGCAAACGGG